UAACUUUUAUGUGGCAUACAUGACUGUGUGCGUAGGUUUUAACCUUAUCUCGAUAACUAUAAUCAGUUACAGUUAGGUGAAGUCACGGAUGGAAAGAUGUACUGUUUUGUUAUUCUCAAGAUUCAGGCAGUUGCUAUGGGGUUUUGUAUAGUUGUGAAUAUGUGUCUCCAGCGGUGGACUCCAGCGAAGCGUGACUGUGUUUGGCAACAACAACACCAGCAGCUCAGCGGCACAACAUAAUGACAUAAUUGGCGGGGGGCGGCGGCGAGGAGCGGGCGGGGAAGGGGCUAGGCGCAUGCGCGGGUUUGACGGCCAAGGUCGAGGCCGCGCGAUUCUGCCGCGCGCCGCCGCGUCGGCUGGUCCCUCUCACGCGCCCUCUUCUGGAAACAUCUUCCACCAGGGCUUAAUGCGCAGUUCUCGCCGCGAGUGACCCCGACAUCUACCCACACGUAAAAUAAGGUGACUCGUGUCCGGCGAGCGUGUCGGUGGUGUGCUAACCGGUCAGUUUCGCGUCUGGACGGAAUUCCUGAGAACAUCAUGUGCGUUUCGAACGCAUGCCGACCGGACCGACGUCGCUUGUUAUGCAACGCUUCAAACAAAACAUCCGCUUCUUGACGGCACGAACUUGUCGUGCACCUGAUGGUAAGCUACUCUCCAGUC
Molecule: long non-coding RNA, 660 nt
Organism: Hyposmocoma kahamanoa
Lineage: Eukaryota; Metazoa; Arthropoda; Insecta; Lepidoptera; Cosmopterigidae
Exons: 3
Source: RefSeq, a predicted model, not a curated record